GAUGAGCGCUGGCGGCGUGCCUAAUACAUGCAAGUCGAGCGAACAGACGAGGAGCUUGCUCCUCUGACGUUAGCGGCGGACGGGUGAGUAACACGUGGAUCACCUACCUAUAAGACUGGGAUAACUUCGGGAAACCGGAGCUAAUACCGGAUAAUAUAUUGAACCGCAUGGUUCAAUAGUGCAUGACGGUUUUGCUGUCACUUAUAGAUGGAUCCGCGCCGCAUUAUCUAGUUGGUAAGGUAACGGCUUACCAAGGCUACGAUGCGUAGCCGACCGGAGAGGGGGUUCGGCCACACUGGAACUAGGACACGGUCCGGACCCCUACGGGGGGCAGCGUGAGGGAUACUUGCGCAAUGGGCGAAAGCCUGACGGAGAACGCCGCGUGAGUGAUGAAGGUCUUCGGAUCGUAAAACUCUGUUAUUAGGGAAGAACAAAUGUGGAAGUAACUAUGCACGUCUUGACGGUACCUAAUCAGAAAGCCACGGCUAACUACGUG
This 496-nucleotide ribosomal RNA is filed under the name uncultured bacterium. RNAcentral's name for it is "partial 16S ribosomal RNA". It matches the Rfam family "Bacterial small subunit ribosomal RNA", at positions 28 to 507 of the family's 1533-position model. The record is from RNAcentral.